This 143-nucleotide unclassified non-coding RNA is filed under the name uncultured fungus. Its description in RNAcentral is "sequence contains ITS1, 5.8S rRNA gene". Lineage: Eukaryota; Fungi. The record is from RNAcentral.
CCAGUCGCACCUUGCGUGCGUUACCGUCUCCUCACGGGGAUAUCCUUUGUCUACGAGUACCCUUUUUCCUCAGCAGGCCUGCCUGCUGGGGGACCGAAUCCACUCUUUUAUAUAUAUCUGUCUGAAAACCAAUAAAUUAAUUA